UGGCCCAGAGUGCUGCCCCAUGUGCACACGGGCACAUUCUCACCUGCCUCUCCUCCUUCUUCAUGUAGCAUCUCCUCUGGGGCCACUUUCCUCAUGACCUACUUCACGUCAGGCACAGCAGUGCUAACAAAGCUGAGAUUUAUACUUGAUCUUUUUUUUUUUUUUAAUUAAGAAGCAGGAGUUCUAUUUUCAUUAUAACAACCAGGAUACGGAUUCCACCGUAUGGCACUGUUCAAAAAUUCCACAUGACUUUAUUUUUUGUACUGAAAUUGAUUUCCUGUGGUACAGGCAUUCCUCUAAAAAUCAAACCCAACAACUCCAGAAAGCCACCUAAGCAGAUAAGAAAAUCAAAACUGUAUCAAUAGAGUAAUCUUCGUUCUCUUUCCUGCUUGGUUAUGAGCUUCCGAGGUCUCAUACGUGUACAACUAGGAAGAAAGGGGCCUGGGUAUUUCCUUCUGAUUUCUUGCCAGCUCAAUUACUUUGUACAUUUUCCAUCAAGGAUUUGUCUUGCUAUUAGAAACAGGCGUUGGGACUAUACAUCAUCAGACAGCUGGUCUCCGGCUGCUCCCCUCCUCUUGUACAAAACAGGGAAAACCCUGCUUGUUUGUGUUAUUCAGGGAAAGAAAUUAUUUGUGGUAACCAAUUGGACUGGUGACGGGUGAGCAUCUCCUGUCCCAUGGAUAUUUUACCUGCCUCGAAGGCCUCUGGUCUCCUAGGGGACACGGUCUAAGGUGGAUUAUGUCUCUCUUUGUGUUUCAGUAAUCACCUGACCCUAGCACAGCCAGAGAGUCUCUCCUAUAUUUUCAACAAGGUUGAAGAUCACUUCAUCCUGCAGUAAAGAGUAAAAGAAUAAUGAAUUCUCCCUAAUCGUUUGCUCAUAAUUAGUGGAAGUGGGAAAUAGAUGAAAGAUACGGAUCGUUUGGAAACCAAAAAUCUUGGGAGGCCCUGGGGGGCGUGGAUGCUUUAUCCAGAUGCGGUGUCUCGGACUUUGACGAUACCGGUUCUUCAGCACAUUUCCAGCCCUGAUGUCAGCAGGGAGACGGAGACAGCCCCCCACCCCUCCGCCCGGUGGGGCUUGGGUUGCCUUGUGAGCUCCUGUGCACUGGAGUAGCAUUUAGCCCCUUUGCAUUCAGUCUGCCAUGUGACCCUUAGUCUAUUAAAGGACAACAUUAAACGUCAGCUUCGGCAUGUUACCCCACCACGCUCAGAACAGUGAAGGUGCGCCUGCCCCACGUGGUCGGAAACCAUACUCAGUUUGAGGAUUUCAAGGCUUCCUUUGAUUCUGUGUGAUGAGGAGGGCCGGGGCCCCCCUGCACCUGUGUGAUGGUGCAGCUGCGGUCCCCAGCAGAUGCCUAGUUCUAGACCUGGGCCACAGCGUGUUGGCCUGAUUAUCCGCAGUGGGCGUGUGUUGGCUACAUACAUCAGUGCCCUUCAUCUUUCUUUAAAGCUGAUACUUCCCUCCAUGUGCUUGGUCUCUGGGCAGCCCCUCAGGUCUGAAGAGCGGACAAGUGUUCCUGUCUCUAGCUUCCAUGGUGAUAACAACUGGUCUAUUAGGGGAGCUGUUCCAAAGUGUGGUUGUCCCUUGCCCCUCGCUCGCAGAGGUCCCGAUGCACACACCUUCCCUGGAGACUUGCUGGAAUUCACAAGGGACUCAUUUUUGAAAAUUUCAUUUAGCAUUUUGUUCCAAAUUCCCCUACAUUUUCAGAGAACUUCCAGAACAGAAGCCCCUGGAGUUCCUUCUCCAGACCUUGCUGGCUUUGUGCUCUUUGCCUUUCUGGCAUCUGACUUCGGUCUCAGUAACCUGGCUUUUCCCCACCAGUCACCCCGCAGCCACGCCCGCACAUGGGUGCCACUGCCUCUCCCCCCGCCAUUCCACCAGUCUGGGCUGCAUCCGAGGCGGUGCGCCGUUGGUGCGGUUUUCAGGACUUUCCUCUUGGUGACAUGGUGUGGAGGCUGGAAAUGGGGCAUAUGGCAGGAAAGGGACUAACAAGGGUCACGUGGCAUCGUUUCUGGAACCUCCCCAAGUUCUUAGCCUUGGCCAUUGUCAGUGGAUCUAGAAUCAAUAAACCCAGGUCCCUGCUCCCGCUACUCCUCUCCUUAUCCCUUAUUCCCCAGAGAGGGGCUCAGCUGACAUCCUCUACCUCUGCCCUGGGUCGCACUGAUCCCUUUCUCCACGAAGCCUUCACAACCUGUAGCCGCAAUUUUGGGCAAUGCCGCUUUAGGACAAUUCCUCCCACCUAUGCAAAUUUACCUGGAGAAGAAGUGAUUCCUCAAAGCUGGGAUAUAUUUAAACGUUACAAAACACACUCCCUUCCUGCCACCCUCAUAAUGUCCUCCUCACAUCAACCACCAGCCCCUUGGGCGUGGCCCCAGUGGCCCCAGAAGAUAAGGGCUCCUCCCAGCCAACUGGAUCCGGACCCUGGGGAUGCAGCGUCUCCACCAUCUGGCUGGACAUAAUUUUGAUCCCUAUUGCCUUCUGGAAUUUUGUUCUCAUAGAUCAGACUGGCUUUUCCUGUGCUCCCCUCCCCCUUCGGUUUUCUAACCAGGUUGUAAGUCAGUUAUUUAGUGUCCCUGUCCCUUCCCCCAGCCUAGGGCAUUAAUUGCGUGUUCUGGGCAAGAUUCCACGAGUUCUGCUUAUAGCUUUGAGUGUUUCCGCCUCCUCCUAUGUCCCCUGCUGCCUCCUGCAGCUCUCAUGACCUCUCCCCACUCUGAACUCCUGCCACCUGCGGGACUAGGUGUCACUGCAUCACUUACCUUUGGUUGCUACAUCCUCAGGGUGGACCAGAUCACAUCCCUUCUUUGUCCCUACAAGGAGCCAUUUUGAACUCCAUUCUGUUGGUCUCCAUGGGUGUGAGGACAGUCCAGCUCCCCCCACACCCAGCCCCUGAGACCUGCCCCCAAGCUGUAAGGCGCUAGCAUAGUUCUUGGGCUCUUUGGAAGCCUCUGUAGCAAGACAGGCUGUUAGGGCUCACCUCCCUGCUCUUCUUGCUCAGCCACAGUCACGCUCCCAUUCAACCAGCCCGUUUGGCCAACGUUUAGUUAUUGACGUCUACAUGCUCAAGGCAUUGUGUUGGGCACCAGGGUGGGGAGAGGGUGGCAAAGACCGCUUUGUUUGAUGUAGGGGUGGGGUAGGUGAACACAUGGAAAAUUGUGAUGUGAUGUGGCAAGCCCCUAGAGAUAGGAAACAGCUGGGCCCUGCAGAGCCUUUGUGCAAAUGAGGAAAGGGGGUCCAUCCAGGUAGACCCAGCCCUUCAGGUGUGUGGCUUAGGAAACAGAAUGUGGGCUGGAUUUCAGCUCCUACUCAUCCUUCCAGCUAGUGCCCUUAACCUUCAAGAAGGGCAUAGCAGGGAGCCGAGGCAGGAAUGCGUGGGCUGCAUGAGAUGUUCAG
Molecule: long non-coding RNA, 3388 nt
Organism: Mirounga angustirostris (Northern elephant seal)
Lineage: Eukaryota; Metazoa; Chordata; Mammalia; Carnivora; Phocidae
Exons: 2
Source: RefSeq, a predicted model, not a curated record